GGACAAUACAAAGGGCAGCGAAACCGCGAGGUCAAGCAAAUCCCAUAAAGUUGUUCUCAGUUCGGAUUGUAGUCUGCAACUCGACUACAUGAAGCUGGAAUCGCUAGUAAUCGUAGAUCAGCAUGCUACGGUGAAUACGUUCCCGGGUCUUGUACACACCGCCCGUCACACCACGAGAGUUUGUAACACCCGAAGCCGGUGGAGUAACCUUUUAGGAGCUAGCCGUCGAAGGUGGGACAAAUGAUUGGGGUGAAGUCGUAACAAGGUAGCCGUAUCGGAAGGUGCGGCUGGAUCACCUCCUUU
RNAcentral lists this ribosomal RNA (303 nucleotides) under Staphylococcus aureus. RNAcentral's name for it is "partial 16S ribosomal RNA". It matches the Rfam family "Bacterial small subunit ribosomal RNA", at positions 1229 to 1533 of the family's 1533-position model. The record is from RNAcentral. RNAcentral also lists the same sequence under 1 other name. Lineage: Bacteria; Bacillati; Bacillota; Bacilli; Caryophanales; Staphylococcaceae.